CAGCCGCCGCGGUAAUACGAAGGGGGCUAGCGUUGCUCGGAAUUACUGGGCGUAAAGGGCGCGUAGGCGGAUGUUUAAGUCAGAGGUGAAAGCCCAGGGCUCAACCUUGGAACUGCCUUUGAUACUGGACAUCUUGAGUGUGGGAGAGGUGAGUGGAACUCCGAGUGUAGAGGUGAAAUUCGUAGAUAUUCGGAAGAACACCAGUGGCGAAGGCGACUCACUGGCCCAUUACUGACGCUGAGGCGCGAAAGCGUGGGGAGCAAACAGGAUUAGAUACCCCCGUAGUCCCUGUCUCUUAUAC
Molecule: ribosomal RNA, 301 nt
Filed under: uncultured bacterium
Lineage: Bacteria
Description: partial 16S ribosomal RNA
Rfam family: Bacterial small subunit ribosomal RNA
Source: RNAcentral